Molecule: non-coding RNA, 121 nt
Filed under: Polytomella parva
Lineage: Eukaryota; Viridiplantae; Chlorophyta; Chlorophyceae; Chlamydomonadales; Chlamydomonadaceae
Source: RNAcentral
GAAAACAAAAAAUCAGAAGACGAAAAACAGAGAGAAAAAUCGAAAGAAAAAGGGAGAGAAGUGGAAGAGGAUAUUGUUCCUUCACCAUUACCCCCUUUCUCUACCGCUCCUUUUCCCUUUC